RNAcentral lists this antisense RNA (75 nucleotides) under Streptomyces longwoodensis. Its description in RNAcentral is "ASpks TB sRNA". It matches the Rfam family "ASpks TB sRNA". Lineage: Bacteria; Bacillati; Actinomycetota; Actinomycetes; Kitasatosporales; Streptomycetaceae. The record is from Rfam by way of RNAcentral.
CUUCACCGAGCCCAGCCGCAGCGGCUGGUCCGCCGGACGGUCCUGGCCGUAGGUGGCCAGGAGGGCGUGGGCCUC